This 76-nucleotide transfer RNA is filed under the name Robbsia andropogonis. RNAcentral describes it as "tRNA-Arg". It matches the Rfam family "tRNA". From Rfam's summary of the family: Transfer RNA (tRNA) molecules are approximately 80 nucleotides in length. Their secondary structure includes four short double-helical elements and three loops (D, anti-codon, and T loops). RNAcentral also lists the same sequence under 2 other names. Lineage: Bacteria; Pseudomonadati; Pseudomonadota; Betaproteobacteria; Burkholderiales; Burkholderiaceae. The record is from RNAcentral.
GCGUCCGUAGCUCAAUGGAUAGAGUACUGCCCUCCGAAGGCAGGGGUUGCUGGUUCGAUCCCAGCCGGACGCACCA